UUUUCCCCUUUGAUUUUCCCAAAAUUUAAUGAUUUUAUUGAGAAUUUGAAUGUUUUCUAUUAAAAAAAAAUAUAUUUUGUGUUUUGUGUGCUAUAUGUGGUUGUACUAGCAGGAAAGGCAUUGACUCGGAUAACAGAAAUAAAACAUUCACGGGUAGUAUCGGUAGCGGUGUCUUGGUAACGGUAGUAUAAACAAUGUACAGGCCCGUAACGCAGCUACUACAAAAUUAUCGAUAGAAAAUUAAAAUUCCGUUAUGUUUGCUUUUAGGCUUUUAUUAUUAGAUUAUUUUUGUACAUAAACCGGUUCUGUUGAAGUAGUACACUUUGCCUCGCCCCCACUGUAGUUGCGUCUCCCUUCUCUUAUUCCUCCAUGCUAUUUUUACAGAUUUAAAGGUUAUAAUAGCCAACAAAAAUUGUUUAGGAUUAUUAUAGUUUUCUGGGCUAAAAAUAAUUGAUAUUUUAGCUAAAAGUGUUAAUAAUAAUCAGCUAACCUUUUUUAUGAGUUUCCUUAAUUAGUAGAUAUCCUGACACACAGAAAUUAAUUAAUAUUCUGGUGUAUAUGUAAGUACAGAAAAAUUCUUAUUUCUCCCUAAAAAUACUUAACUUUUAGUGUAAAUAUCUAGAUAAUAUAUUGAAUAAUAUGUUCCAGUAAAUAGUUUGAUCUUAUAUAAAUAAUUCCUAAGGUAUUCUCUUAAUGAAAGUGCUUUAAGAUACUUAGAAUUACCAUUCUUAACUUCUUGCAAAGUUAUUGUGGUUUGAACCUGAUAAAAAUAAAAGAUAUUAUGGAAAAUAAAAUUCUAGACGAAGAUAACUCAGAUUUUUUUAUUAAUUUUCCACCAGAAGUACAAAAAGCUAUAGAUGAGGUACUGCCCAAUAAAGAUUCUUUAGAUGAACCAGAUUUCAAUAGUAUUGACUACAUAAAUUCCCUGUUUCCCACUGAACAGUCCCUUUCAAACAUUGAUGAAAUGGUUAUAAAAAUGGAGAAUCAGAUUCAUACAAUAGAUAAUGAUAUUUCAACAGUGAUCCAAAGCCAGAUUGAGGCUAGCGUAGAUGGAAGGGAAGCGCUAGGUGAGUCUCAAAAGAUUAUUAAACAAUUAUUCUUACACAUAAAGGACAUCAAGGAACGGGCAGAAAAGUCUGAGGAGAUGGUUAGAGAAAUCACCAGAGACAUUAAGCAAUUAGAUUGUGCUAAAAGAAAUUUAACUCUGGCAAUAACAACACUGAAUCAUCUUCAUAUGUUAGUGGGUGGUGUUGAUACAUUAAAGUCUUUAACUGAAAAGCAUUUGUAUGGAGAAAUAGCUCUUCCUCUCCAAGCAAUUAGCGAAGUUAUGACUCAUUUUGAACAUUAUUCGGACAUACCUCAAAUAAAAAAAUUAAGCGAUCAAGUGAAAAGUAUUCACACAGAGUUAGCUGAUCAAAUUACACAUGAUUUUAAGGACGCUUUUCAAGGUGCAAAUAGUAAAAAUACAAUACCAAGCAAACAGUUACAACAGGCUUGUUUAGUGGUAUCUAUAUUAAACCCCAAAGUAAAGAAGGACCUUCUAAAAUGGUUUAUAACUUUGGAACUGCAGGAAUACAGUCACUUGUUUCAAGAGACUGAAGAUACAGCUUGGCUAGAUAAAAUAGAUAAAAGAUACGCAUGGGUUAAAAGGCAUUUGCUGGAGUUUGAAGAAAAGCUAGGUCGUAUGUUCCCUGAAAACUGGGAAGUCUCUGAGAGAAUUGCUGUUCAGUUUUGUCACCACACAAGAGAAGAGUUAUCAAAAAUAAUGGCUAAGAGAAAAAACGAAAUUGAUGUGAAGCUACUAUUGUAUGCCAUUCAAAAGACUAGUGCUUUUGAGAAUUUGUUGUUCAAGAGAUUUACAGGGGCUACAGUCAAUGAGGGGCUUAAUACAAAUCAUCUGGAUGAGCAUAAGAAGAAAACAGAAAAACAUAAUAAUGGGGCAGUAAAUAACGAAUUGUUGGAUUUUGCUGAUUCUCCCUUUAACGGAUUAAUAGGUCGUUGUUUUAUUCCCUAUCUGGACAUUUAUAUUGAAAGCUUGGAUAGGAAUCUGUCCGACCUUAUAGACAGGUUUGUACAGGACGAAAAACAACACAAACCGAUUGAAAAUGCCGAAACUCAAGCAGCAAUCUUACCCUCCUGUCCAGAUCUGUUUGUUUUCUAUAAAAAGAGCAUGAUUCAAUGCACUCAGUUAGAUAGAGGUCAAUCGAUGCUUAGUUUAACAAGAACCUUCCAAAAAUACCUACAAGAAUACUCGGAAAAACUGCUUUAUAACAACUUGCCAAAAAUUGAAUGCCAGUCGUUGGGUAGUUCAGUUCAGAAUUUUACAAAAGAUCUUCAAAAGAUUUCUACCUCGGGAUUAAUACAGAAUUUUUCUUCUUUGUUAAAGGAAGGGGAAAUGAUGAGAUUUGCCAAAGACGAACAGACUAAAAUUUGCUGUAUUUUAACCACUGCCGAGUAUUGUCUGGAGACCACUCAACAGUUACAAGAUAAAUUAAAAGAGAAAAUUGAUGCCACGUUGGCAGACCAAAUAGAUCUGUCAAAAGAACAAGAUCUGUUUCAUAAGGUUAUUUCUAAUUGUAUUCAGUUGUUAGUACAAGAUCUGGAAAAUGCUUGCGAACCAUCUUUAACAGCCAUGUCUAAGAUUCCAUGGCAAAAUAUUGACGCUGUUGGAGACCAGAGUCCCUACAUUACAUCUAUAACAAUGCAUCUAAAAACAACGAUUCCAAUAAUUCGUGAUAGUUUAGCUCAUUCCAGGAAAUAUUUUACACAGUUUUGCAUCAAAUUUGCCAAUAGUUUUAUCCCAAAGUUUAUACAGAACAUUUAUAAGUGUAAACCAAUAAACACAGAAGGUAUGAAUUACAUGUCUACUACCACAGAAUUAUUUAACUAAAGUCCCUAGGUCUAGGGAUUUUAAACCUAACGUAGCUCUAGACUCAUGGGUAAGCGGAAUAGGGUAAAGGUGCAGAACAGUUAUUACUAGACACUCAUAUGCUUAAAACGGUUUUGUUAAAUUUGCCUUCAAUAUCGUCUCAAAUAAAUAGGACAGCGCCGGCAGCCUACUCAAAAGUUGUCACAAAAG
This 3079-nucleotide unclassified non-coding RNA is filed under the name Sitophilus oryzae (rice weevil). RNAcentral's name for it is "vacuolar protein sorting-associated protein 53 homolog, transcript variant X4". Lineage: Eukaryota; Metazoa; Arthropoda; Insecta; Coleoptera; Curculionidae. The record is from RNAcentral.